UCCCUGGAGGACUAGUGGUCAGGCCAUAGUGCUCUCACUGCUGCGGCACGGGUUUGAUUCCUGGCCAGGGAA
Molecule: transfer RNA, 72 nt
Filed under: Pangasianodon gigas (Mekong giant catfish)
Lineage: Eukaryota; Metazoa; Chordata; Actinopteri; Siluriformes; Pangasiidae
Description: tRNA-Glu
Rfam family: tRNA
About the family: Transfer RNA (tRNA) molecules are approximately 80 nucleotides in length. Their secondary structure includes four short double-helical elements and three loops (D, anti-codon, and T loops). Further hydrogen bonds mediate the characteristic L-shaped molecular structure. tRNAs have two regions of fundamental functional importance: the anti-codon, which is responsible for specific mRNA codon recognition, and the 3' end, to which the tRNAs corresponding amino acid is attached (by aminoacyl-tRNA synthetases). tRNAs cope with the degeneracy of the genetic code in two manners: having more than one tRNA (with a specific anti-codon) for a particular amino acid; and 'wobble' base-pairing, i.e. permitting non-standard base-pairing at the 3rd anti-codon position.
Source: RNAcentral